CGCCUGCCAGCGGGCGGUGUGCAUCACCGUGCCCUUGAAGUCGGCGAGGCCGGCGAUGUCCGGCACGGCCGGGCGGCUCAGUCCGCCGGUGGCGU
Molecule: transfer RNA, 95 nt
Filed under: Burkholderiaceae bacterium
Lineage: Bacteria; Pseudomonadati; Pseudomonadota; Betaproteobacteria; Burkholderiales; Burkholderiaceae
Description: tRNA-Phe
Source: RNAcentral